AAGGAAAUGAAAAUCAAAAAAGGAAAUAGAAACCGAAUAAGGAAAUGAAAAUGGAAAAAGGAAAUAGAAAACGAAUAAGGAAAUGAAAAUCAAAAAAGGAAAUAGAAACCAAAUAAGGAAAUGAAAAUCGAAAAAGGAAAAAGAAAACGAAUAAGGAAAUGAAAAUCGAAAAAGGAAACAGAAAACGAAUAAGGAAAUGAAAAUUGAAUAAGGAAAAAGAAACCGAAUAAGGAAAUGAAAAUCGAAAUAAGGAAAUAGAAACCGAAUAAGGAAAAAGAAACUGAAUAAGGAAAUGAAAAUCGAAUAAGGAAAAAGAAACCGAAUAAGGAAAUGAAAAUCGAAUAAGGAAAUAGAAACAUAAUAAGGAAAAAGAAACUGAAUAAGGAAAUGAAAACCAAAAAAGGAAAUAGAAACCGAAUAAGGAAAUGAAAAUUGAAAAAGGAAAUAGAAACCGAAUAAGGAAAUGAAAAUUGAAAAAGGGAAAAAGAAACAAAAUAAGG
This 500-nucleotide long non-coding RNA is filed under the name Mytilus galloprovincialis (Mediterranean mussel). The record is from RNAcentral. Lineage: Eukaryota; Metazoa; Mollusca; Bivalvia; Mytilida; Mytilidae.